Molecule: ribosomal RNA, 760 nt
Filed under: Acinetobacter sp. 2P1D8
Lineage: Bacteria; Pseudomonadati; Pseudomonadota; Gammaproteobacteria; Moraxellales; Moraxellaceae
Description: bacterial SSU rRNA
Rfam family: Bacterial small subunit ribosomal RNA
Source: RNAcentral
UGCAAGUCGAGCGGGGAGAUGUAGCUUGCUACAUUUUCUAGCGGCGGACGGGUGAGUAAUGCUUAGGAAUCUGCCUAUUAGUGGGGGACAACGUUUCGAAAGGAACGCUAAUACCGCAUACGCCCUACGGGGGAAAGCAGGGGCUCUUCGGACCUUGCGCUAAUAGAUGAGCCUAAGUCAGAUUAGCUAGUUGGUGGGGUAAAGGCCUACCAAGGCGACGAUCUGUAGCGGGUCUGAGAGGAUGAUCCGCCACACUGGGACUGAGACACGGCCCAGACUCCUACGGGAGGCAGCAGUGGGGAAUAUUGGACAAUGGGGGGAACCCUGAUCCAGCCAUGCCGCGUGUGUGAAGAAGGCCUUUUGGUUGUAAAGCACUUUAAGCGAGGAGGAGGCUCCUAUAGAUAAUACCUAUAGUGAGUGGACGUUACUCGCAGAAUAAGCACCGGCUAACUCUGUGCCAGCAGCCGCGGUAAUACAGAGGGUGCGAGCGUUAAUCGGAUUUACUGGGCGUAAAGCGUACGUAGGCGGCUUUUUAAGUCGGAUGUGAAAUCCCUGAGCUUAACUUAGGAAUUGCAUUCGAUACUGGGAAGCUAGAGUAUGGGAGAGGAUGGUAGAAUUCCAGGUGUAGCGGUGAAAUGCGUAGAGAUCUGGAGGAAUACCGAUGGCGAAGGCAGCCAUCUGGCCUAAUACUGACGCUGAGGUACGAAAGCAUGGGGAGCAAACAGGAUUAGAUACCCUGGUAGUCCAUGCCGUAAACGAU